This is a long non-coding RNA of Oncorhynchus tshawytscha (Chinook salmon), 1030 nucleotides long. RefSeq lists it as uncharacterized. The transcript has 4 exons. Lineage: Eukaryota; Metazoa; Chordata; Actinopteri; Salmoniformes; Salmonidae. The record is from RefSeq and is a predicted model, not a curated record.
UAUACACCUGUCAGCAACAGUUUGGCUGAAAUUUCCAAAUCCACUAAUUUGAAUGGGUGUCCACAUACUUUUGUACAUAUAGUGUAUGUGUGUCAUGUGUGUUGAUCCCCUGUGCAGUCCCCCAGGCCCUGCGUCAUGAGGAUGUGUUUCUGACCUCUAAGCUGUGUAACACCCAACAUCACCCUGACUACGUAGAGACAGCCUGUAGUAAGAGUCUAAUACACCUGGGACUGGAAUACCUGGCCCUCUACCUCAUGUACUGGCCCACAGCCUUCCAGUGAGCAACAUACACCUAAUCACACCUCGAAUUUGUCCCACACAUGUUGGUCCUCUGAGCUGCCUGCGUGUUCUCCAGGCGUGGGACAGAGCUGAUGCCCAAGCGGGUCGUUGGCAGUGUGAGUUACGAUGACAUACGCUACUGGGAAACCUGGGUUGCCAUGGAGAACCUGGUUGAUAAGGGGAUGUUCCGAGGAAUCGGUCUGUCCAUCUUCAAUUAGGUAUGUGUGGUGUGUGUGUGUACAGUAUGUUUUUGUAAUGGUGUCUCACUCUGUGUGUUAGUAGGUGUCACCCAUGUCUGUCCCAGGCCAAGCUGCUGAGUCACUGCAGGUGGCAGGUACAGAGAGGGAUGGUCUGCAUCCCCAAGAGCGUUACUCCUUCCAGGAUCCUGCAGAAUCUGCAGGUGUUUGACUUCUCCUGUCGGAUGAAGACCUGAAGCAGAUCGAGUCGUUCAACAGAAACGAGAGGUACAUCAUCCCGGCUGUGGAGAGGGACAGAGAGUGGAGGGAUGCAGACCACCCUCAUUUCCCGACCUGAUCUACAGACAGAUCCACUGGCCACAUCUAGAGUCAGAUUUACUGGCCCCACAUCGAGAGUCAGCUCUACUGGCCCCACAUCUAGAGUCAGCUCUACUGGCCCCACAUCUAGAGUCAGCUCUGCUUACCCCUCCUGUCUCAGCCUCCAGUAUUUAUGCUGCAGUAGUUUGUGUCGGGACCUAGGGUCAGUCUGUUAUAUCUGGAGUACUUCUCCUGUC